RNAcentral lists this long non-coding RNA (409 nucleotides) under Homo sapiens (human). Its description in RNAcentral is "HSALNT0368240". Lineage: Eukaryota; Metazoa; Chordata; Mammalia; Primates; Hominidae. The record is from RNAcentral.
CACCAGCUGGAGAGGCUUCCUUUGAGGAGAAGCUGACCUCUUCCAGAAUGCUGGAAGCCAAGCUUGCACAUUCUAGGCAGCCAUUUGGAAGAUUCUUCUCUGCGCAUGACCAGCUGAAAAGGAAAAACCCCGAAACAUUGGCACUGUGAUUUCUCCAUGUGAACAGUUUAGUUCGCCGAGGUGGACAUGCCUCAUUCAUGCUUAUGGAGUGACCGACCAGCCUUUAGUGACACCCCCUGAAAUGUGAGUCAUCCAUGGGUCACUAGUCAUUGGAGAAGAGCCCCUUAUACAAAACUUGGAGCUCAGACCACAAACAACAACAACAAUCCAAAAAAUAAAAAAAUGAAAAAUUAGGAGCAGAGACUAAAUGGAAAGAUGGAAAUAUUAAAAUAAAAAUAUUAUUUUAAAA